This 661-nucleotide long non-coding RNA is filed under the name Mustela putorius furo (domestic ferret). RNAcentral describes it as "lncRNA (ENSMPUG00000031022.1)". The record is from RNAcentral. Lineage: Eukaryota; Metazoa; Chordata; Mammalia; Carnivora; Mustelidae.
GCACACAACCUUUUCUCUCUAGACUGUAGAGAGAAAAAUGUAACUGAAAUAUCCCUGACCAAAAAAAAAAAAAAAAAAAAGAAAGAAAAGAGAAAUCCCUGAUUGAUACACUCCCCUAUGCCGUGUUUUUCUAUAGCUACUGUCCUACUUGAACCGACAGGAUAGAAGUUUCUGGAACACAGAAGCCACAGCCUCUUUGCCUUUGUGCUCCCCCAGCAGCACACACAGGGCCAGUCCCAUAGAGACACUCAGAGAUGAACACUGGAGGACUGUCUGGAUGAGGAGUGAAUACUCUCAUCGUCCUGGCCCAGGCAGGAUCCAGCCCAGGGUCCUGAGACCCCUGCCCUCUCCCCGAGCCUGACGUGACAAUGGGCAACCCUACCCUGGGCUUCCUGUGUGCCACACCCAGCCUGUGGCUCCAGCCAGGGGGUAGCCAGAAAGCGGUGACUGCCCAGAUUACCACAGCUCUGUGUCCACAGGGAUACAUCUCAAAGACAAUAAAGAUCUAUGCAGACCUGCAGCAUGAAAGAAUCCUGCCCUCUCUCCCAAAGCACAUGGGGGUUAGUUGUGGGGAGAAAGACUUGGUCCUCAGUUGAGAGAAUUCGAAAUAUUGUGAGUGUAUGAGGAAGGGGGAACUCUGCCCCUACACGUUGUUCUGCCU